This 776-nucleotide ribosomal RNA is filed under the name uncultured Neocallimastigales. Its description in RNAcentral is "partial large subunit ribosomal RNA". It matches the Rfam family "Eukaryotic large subunit ribosomal RNA", at positions 22 to 628 of the family's 3401-position model. The record is from RNAcentral. Lineage: Eukaryota; Fungi; Neocallimastigomycota; Neocallimastigomycetes; Neocallimastigales.
AUAUCAGUCAUGCAUAGCAUAUCAAUAAGCGGAGGAAAAGAAACUAACAAGGAUUCCCUUAGUAACGGCGAGUGAAGCGGGAAGAGCUCAAAUUUGAAAUCUUCAAGGUUUUACCUUGACGAAUUGUAGUUUAAAGAAGUGUUUUCUGUUGAAGUUUUGGUAAAAGUUCUUUGGAAUAGGACAUCAUAGAGGGUGAGAAUCCCGUAUUUGACCAUUACUUUCAGCUUUGUGAUACACUUUCAAAGAGUCGGAUUGUUUGGGAAUGCAGUCCAAAAUGGGUGGUAAAUUUCAUCUAAAGCUAAAUAUUGGCGAGAGACCGAUAGCGAACAAGUACCGUGAGGAAAAGAUGAAAGAGAACUUUGAAAAGAGAGUUAAACAGUACGUGAAAUUGUCAAAAGGGAAGCGUUUGACACCAGUGUUGUUUCUCUCGAAAAUCAAUUAAAAAGAGUUGGAUUUUGUGUCGUAUUGACUUUAUCAGCUUUCUUCACUCUUUUCCAGCUUUUUUUAAUGCACUUUUCGUUUAACAAGUCAACAUCAGUUUCUUUUGUUGUAAAAAGGUCAUUGGAAGGUGGCUUUCUCUUCGGAGAAAGUGUUUAUAGCCUUUGACUCAUGCAAUCGGAGAGACUGAGGUCUGCAGCGUAGAUCCUUCGGGGUUAGAUACAUUUGUGCUAAGUUAUAGCUUUUCAUAGACAACUUGUUGACUAUGUUUAGUCUUGUAGCUUACUCGCUUAUGCUAUUUUACCUACGCUUAGGAUGUUGAACUCUAUCACACACAG